RNAcentral lists this ribosomal RNA (499 nucleotides) under uncultured Glomeromycotina. Its description in RNAcentral is "partial small subunit ribosomal RNA". It matches the Rfam family "Eukaryotic small subunit ribosomal RNA", at positions 591 to 1092 of the family's 1831-position model. The record is from RNAcentral. Lineage: Eukaryota; Fungi; Glomeromycota.
CCAAUAGCGUAUAUUAAAGUUGCUGCAGUUAAAAGGCUCGUAGUUGAAUUUCGGGACUAAUAUGUCGGUCGUGCCUCGGUACGUACUGGUAUUUUUGGUUUCUCCCUUCUGACGAACCUUGAUGUCAUUAAUUUGGUGUCUUGGGAAAUCAGGACUGUUACUUUGAAAAAAUUAGAGUGUUUAAAGCAGGCUCACGCUUGAAUACAUUAGCAUGGAAUAAUGAAAUAGGACGUUUGAUUCUAUUUUGUUGGUUUCUAGGAUCGACGUAAUGAUUAAUAGGGAUAGUUGGGGGCAUUAGUAUUCAAUUGUCAGAGGUGAAAUUCUUGGAUUUAUUGAAGACUAACUACUGCGAAAGCAUUUGCCAAGGAUGUUUUCAUUAAUCAAGAACGAAAGUUAGGGGAUCGAAGACGAUCAGAUACCGUCGUAGUCUUAACCAUAAACUAUGCCGACUAGGGAUCGGAUGAUGUUAAUUUUUUAAUGACUCAUUCGGCGCCUUACG